ACCACGGGUAUGCCCUAGUACGGCGAGUGAAGCGGCAACAGCUCAAAUUUGAAAUCUGGCUCUUUCAGAGUCCGAGUUGUAAUUUGCAGAGGGCGCUUUGGCUUUGGCAGCGGUCCAAGUUCCUUGGAACAGGACGUCACAGAGGGUGAGAAUCCCGUACGUGGUCGCUAGCUAUUGCCGUGUAAAGCCCCUUCGACGAGUCGAGUUGUUUGGGAAUGCAGCUCUAAAUGGGAGGUAAAUUUCUUCUAAAGCUAAAUAUUGGCCAGAGACCGAUAGCGCACAAGUAGAGUGAUCGAAAGAUGAAAAGCACUUUGGAAAGAGAGUCAAACAGCACGUGAAAUUGUUGAAAGGGAAGCGCUUGCAGCCAGACUUGCUUGCAGUUGCUCAUCCGGGCUUUUGCCCGGUGCACUCUUCUGCAGGCAGGCCAGCAUCAGUUUGGGCGGUGGGAUAAAGGUCUCUGACACGUUCCUUCCUUCGGGUUGGCCAUAUAGGGGAGACGUCAUACCACCAGCCUGGACUGAGGUCCGCGCAUCUGCUAGGAUGCUGGCGUAAUGGCUGUAAGCGGCCCGUCUUGAAACG
RNAcentral lists this ribosomal RNA (579 nucleotides) under Curvularia heteropogonicola. RNAcentral describes it as "partial large subunit ribosomal RNA". It matches the Rfam family "Eukaryotic large subunit ribosomal RNA", at positions 64 to 661 of the family's 3401-position model. Lineage: Eukaryota; Fungi; Ascomycota; Dothideomycetes; Pleosporales; Pleosporaceae. The record is from RNAcentral.